This 848-nucleotide long non-coding RNA is filed under the name Medicago truncatula (barrel medic). RNAcentral's name for it is "lncRNA gene8576". The record is from RNAcentral. Lineage: Eukaryota; Viridiplantae; Streptophyta; Magnoliopsida; Fabales; Fabaceae.
AUGCGGAGAUUGUUUAGAAUCUUAGGUAGAUACUUGAUAUUGAUGAACUUGUAUUUCUCCUUGUUAGAUUGUAUGUUUAUAUCAUAUAAAUAAUCAAUGUAAAAUUUUAUAUAAAUCUAAUAUUAUUUGAUAUAUUUUUAAUAAUUACAAGUUUAAGGGAAUUCUAUAAAAAUAAAUUGUUUUAAUUCAAAAUCUUGGAAAGUCAAAUUUGAUCACUUUUACUUUUGAUGAUAUAGUUCCCUAAGAUCGAGAGGGUACAAGAAUAAAAAAUAUUUGUUUGAUAUGAGUUAUGAUAAACCACUUAAUUGUGUAAUUUAUAUUAACAUUUUGGAUAUAAUUUAUUACAUUUAGUAUUAUUAUUAUUUAGAUACUUAACUAUUUUUAUUUUAUUUUGUAGAAUAUAAAAAAUAUAUAUAUUAUAUAAUAGAAGUGAAAAAUCAUCAAAGACAUACUCUUUACUCUCUAGUAUUACAAUUACAAGAAAAGCUGGAUUAAUCAAUGCUACAGGCCCACCAGUGUUGUACCCAAGAGGUUAGGGGCGGUGAUCUCAAUUAAAAGGAAAAGAUAGACUUAUUAUCUUCCUCCAAACAAAUACAAGUAGCUGCUGCACAAUAGAAGAAUGAGUUAGGUGAGAACAAAGAAAGAAAGAGAGGUAGCGCAAGAGACAAAACAAAGAGGAGGUUUACAAAAGACUUAGAUGUGAAGGAAAUUGGAAGAGGCGGUGAUAGAAAGAAGUAAAUCCUUAACGUUGAAGGAAUUUUGGGGCGGUGAAUCAGAAUUUUACAGGGCUAUAUAUAGAGCAUCACAGAUCAAAGGAAGGGAGUUCUUUUUUUGGGGGGAGCAGACUC